CCAACCUACAUUUUGCUAGUCCUCGAGCAAAAUAAAAAAAAACUAACUCACUUUCGCAGGAAUCGCGAUUGCAUUUACCGUAUGCAAUAAGGCUUUAAACCCCUAGGUGGCCCUAGUGGACGAGUUUUGUCUCGUGAGGGUUUCCGGCUCAGAUACCCACAAACUGUGGUCUCUACCCAGUUUAUUUUAUUGUUUUAUAAAAUCUAAUUUCAAAUGCAUAAGUGCCAAGAAUUUCAAAAGCACACAAAGUUUUAUUACUAAGUCAGCCCAAAUCCUAGGUCAA
RNAcentral lists this long non-coding RNA (283 nucleotides) under Phoenix dactylifera (date palm). RNAcentral describes it as "long non-coding RNA (PDAC_LNC015220)". The record is from RNAcentral. Lineage: Eukaryota; Viridiplantae; Streptophyta; Magnoliopsida; Arecales; Arecaceae.